AGUUUGAUCCUGGCUCAGGAUGAACGCUAGCUACAGGCUUAACACAUGCAAGUCGAGGGGCAGCAUCAUCAAAGCUUGCUUUGAUGGAUGGCGACCGGCGCACGGGUGAGUAACACGUAUCCAACCUGCCGACAACACUGGGAUAGCCUUUCGAAAGAAAGAUUAAUACCGGAUGGCAUAGUUUUCCCGCAUGGGAUAAUUAUUAAAGAAUUUCGGUUGUCGAUGGGGAUGCGUUCCAUUAGGCAGUUGGCGGGGUAACGGCCCACCAAACCAACGAUGGAUAGGGGUUCUGAGAGGAAGGUCCCCCACAUUGGAACUGAGACACGGUCCAAACUCCUACGGGAGGCAGCAGUGAGGAAUAUUGGUCAAUGGACGAGAGUCUGAACCAGCCAAGUAGCGUGAAGGAUGACUGCCCUAUGGGUUGUAAACUUCCUUUAUACGGGAAUAAAGUUAGCCACGUGUGGCUUUUUGUAUGUACCGUAUGAAUAAGGAUCGGCUAACUCCGUGCCAGCAGCCGCGGUAAUACGAAGGAUCCGAGCGUUAUCCGGAUUUAUUGGGUUUAAAGGGAGCGUAGGCGGGUUGUUAAGUCAGUUGUGAAAGUUUGCGGCUCAACCGUAAAAUUGCAGUUGAUACUGGCGACCUUGAGUGCAACAGAGGUAGGCGGAAUUCGUGGUGUAGCGGUGAAAUGCUUAGAUAUCACGAAGAACUCCGAUUGCGAAGGCAGCUUACUGGAUUGUAACUGACGCUGAUGCUCGAAAGUGUGGGUAUCAAACAGGAUUAGAUACCCUGGUAGUCCACACAGCAAACGAUGAAUACUCGCUGUUGGCGAUAUACGGUCAGCGGCCAAGCGAAAGCAUUAAGUAUUCCACCUGGGGAGUACGCCGGCAACGGUGAAACUCAAAGGAAUUGACGGGGGCCCGCACAAGCGGAGGAACAUGUGGUUUAAUUCGAUGAUACGCGAGGAACCUUACCCGGGCUUAAAUUGCAACUGACUGAACCGGAAACGGUUCUUUCUUCGGACAGUUGUGAAGGUGCUGCAUGGUUGUCGUCAGCUCGUGCCGUGAGGUGUCGGCUUAAGUGCCAUAACGAGCGCAACCCUUAUCGAUAGUUACUAGCAGGUCAUGCUGAGGACUCUAUUGAGACUGCCGUCGUAAGAUGUGAGGAAGGUGG
This 1170-nucleotide ribosomal RNA is filed under the name uncultured Bacteroides sp. RNAcentral describes it as "bacterial SSU rRNA". It matches the Rfam family "Bacterial small subunit ribosomal RNA", at positions 10 to 1176 of the family's 1533-position model. The record is from RNAcentral. Lineage: Bacteria; Pseudomonadati; Bacteroidota; Bacteroidia; Bacteroidales; Bacteroidaceae.